GAUGAAGAACGUAGCGAAAUGCGAUAAGUAGUGUGAAUUGCAGAAUUCAGUGAAUCAUCGAAUCUUUGAACGCACAUUGCGCCUCCUGGUAUUCCUGGAGGCAUGCCUGUUCGAGCGUCAUUAAAAUCACUCAAGCUUAGGUUUACCUAUUGCUUGGUCUUGGAGAUGGAAGCCAAUUUAUUGGAAUCCUCUUCGAAAUUCAAUGGCGAAGACCCUUGCUCUCCCAAGUGUAGUAAUAACUUAUGUCACUGAAGGAAGCGAGAAAUCUUCUGCCGUAACCCCCAUAUUUUCUAUGAUUGACCUCGGAUCAGGUAGGGAUACCCGCUGAACUUAAGCAUAUCAAUAAGCGGAGGA
RNAcentral lists this unclassified non-coding RNA (354 nucleotides) under soil metagenome. Its description in RNAcentral is "partial contains 5.8S ribosomal RNA, internal transcribed spacer 2, and large subunit ribosomal RNA". The stretch from base 1 to 120 matches the Rfam family "5.8S ribosomal RNA", at positions 35 to 154 of the family's 154-position model. The record is from RNAcentral.